Molecule: ribosomal RNA, 529 nt
Filed under: uncultured bacterium
Lineage: Bacteria
Description: bacterial SSU rRNA
Rfam family: Bacterial small subunit ribosomal RNA
Source: RNAcentral
AAUAGAUACCCCGGUAGUCCACGCCGUAAACGAUGAGUGCUAAGUGUUAGAGGGUUUCCGCCCUUUAGUGCUGCAGCUAACGCAUUAAGCACUCCGCCUGGGGAGUACGGUCACAAGACUGAAACUCAAAGGAAUUGACGGGGGCCCGCACAAGCGGUGGAGCAUGUGGUUUAAUUCGAAGCAACGCGAAGAACCUUACCAGGUCUUGACAUCCUCUGACAACUCUAGAGAUAGAGCGUUCCCCUUCGGGGGACAGAGUGACAGGUGGUGCAUGGUUGUCGUCAGCUCGUGUCGUGAGAUGUUGGGUUAAGUCCCGCAACGAGCGCAACCCUUGAUCUUAGUUGCCAGCAUUUAGUUGGGCACUCUAAGGUGACUGCCGGUGACAAACCGGAGGAAGGUGGGGAUGACGUCAAAUCAUCAUGCCCCUUAUGACCUGGGCUACACACGUGCUACAAUGGAUGGUACAAAGGGCUGCAAGACCGCGAGGUCAAGCCAAUCCCAUAAAACCAUUCUCAGUUCGGAUUGUAGG